Molecule: long non-coding RNA, 1210 nt
Organism: Solanum tuberosum (potato)
Lineage: Eukaryota; Viridiplantae; Streptophyta; Magnoliopsida; Solanales; Solanaceae
Exons: 4
Source: RefSeq, a predicted model, not a curated record
UAUUACUCCCGAGACCUAUCCCUAUAUCAUCCGUUUGCGUAAAUACUCAACUUUUUGUUUCUGACGCGCCAAUGAGCAAUGUAUGUUUGACGAGAAGAGCCUGAUUUGGGAGAAGAAACGUCUGAAAUCCGAAUUGAAGCUUCAACGGCCCUAAACCCACAACAUUUGGUCCCUAGCGGAACAUCAAAAGCGGCCUCCGCUAUCCAUACCAUGGACUUAGGGGCUGGAGUUGCUACAAUAGAUUGUUUUGCUGAAAGCCAGUCCAUUGCAUGUCAAGAUAAUGUGGUUCCUGAACCAUUUAUUGGGAUGGAGUUCGAGUCAGAAGAUGCUGCCAAGGAAUUUUAUGAUGACUAUGCUAGGCGUGUUGGGUUUAUCAUGCGCAUUGAUCAGUGCCGGCGUUCAGAAGUUGACAAGAGAAUCCUUUAACGACGACUUUCAUGUAACAAGCAGGGCUAUUAUGUGAAAAAUGAAAAACCAUUAUGGACCACCCCGAAAAGCACGCACCAGCAGACGAGAAGGGUGCAAGGCAAUGAUGUGGGUAGAGGUUAACAAGUUUGAUAAGUUGGCUGUGACGAGAUUUGUUAAGGAGCAUACCCAUCCAUUGGUGCCUUCUGGCUGUUCUUCUGGUAAUGCAAUGGAUAAAAAGGACAGGAGAAUCCAAGAACUGUCUAUGGAGUUGGAGCGUCAGGAUAAAUUAUGUGACCUUUACAGAGAGCAGCUAGUUACUUUUUUGGAAAAUGUUGAGCAGCAGAUGGAGCUUUUGUCGAAGAAAAUUCAAGUUGCCGUUAACAACAUAAAAGAAGUAGAAGCAGAAGUUCAAAAGCAACCAAAUAGCCAGUAGCCAUGUCUAACUGAAGCAGCAACUUAGUUGUUUUCGUACGAGCAACUGUAGGAUGAUGCAUCCAGCAGAGAAUGGGAGAUUGUUGAACUGUAGUUCCAUAAGUUACGGUGCAUCAAACCGUUUUGGAGAUAGUUGACACGGAAAAAGAAUUACUCACACAUGGUGUUUAUACCAAACAAUAUUAGUUUACCAUGGUUAAUGAUACAAAUGAGGAGGCAAUGUGUAAACGCAGAAUGAAUAAAUUUUUUUAUUGAUGCUGGGUGUAGUACAUGUAAAGUUAGCCAUUUGACGGGUUAAUAGAAGUAGUUUGUGGCCUUCUCGGUAAAGUGUACAUAUUUGAAUGCUAUGAGUGUAUGGGAAUCAUCUAUC